UACGUAGGGGGCGAGCGCUGUCCGGAUUUAUUGGGCGUAAAGAGCUCGUAGGCGGUUUGUCGCGUCUGCUGUGAAAACCCGAGGCUCAACCUCGGGCCUGCAGUGGGUACGGGCAGACUAGAGUGCGGUAGGGGAGAUUGGAAUUCCUGGUGUAGCGGUGGAAUGCGCAGAUAUCAGGAGGAACACCGAUGGCGAAGGCAGAUCUCUGGGCCGUAACUGACGCUGAGGAGCGAAAGCGUGGGGAGCGAACAGG
This 253-nucleotide ribosomal RNA is filed under the name uncultured bacterium. RNAcentral's name for it is "partial 16S ribosomal RNA". It matches the Rfam family "Bacterial small subunit ribosomal RNA", at positions 524 to 776 of the family's 1533-position model. The record is from RNAcentral.